GCGGAGGAGGUUCAAGGGUA
RNAcentral lists this microRNA (20 nucleotides) under Gallus gallus (chicken). RNAcentral describes it as "microRNA Ros-gga". Lineage: Eukaryota; Metazoa; Chordata; Aves; Galliformes; Phasianidae. The record is from RNAcentral.